CCUAUACUUCCGGAUUUAAAAGAUUAUUUGCUGCAUAAUGAAGAAACUGUGAAAAGGGGAUAUUUUUUCACAUUUCAUACACCAAAGAGUUAUUCAUCUGUCCAGGAUGGAGUUUGCAGAAUUCAUCAAGGUUCCUAAGCUGGACGGCGUGGUGCUGAGGCUGCCGUUCAAGGAGCCAGUGGAGGGCACCCUGUGUAUCACGGGGCACCACCUAUUCUUGUCCUCCAGGAAGACUAUGAAAGAGGAGCUGUGGCUGGAACACAGUGCUGUGGACGCUGUUGAGAAGAAAUUGUCCAAUCAGAAUGGAGGAACUUUGACGCUCAAGUGCAAAAACUUCAUGAUAGUAGAGCUGGAUGUCCCCACGGCCGAAGACUGUCUGCAGAUAGCACACUCUGUGGAGUCACUGUCAAAUAUACAUAAUCUGUCUCUGAAAUACCCCUUCUUCUAUCGUGCCAAUUUUGAGAUGCUAGAGGAUGGGUGGACAGCAUUUAUGCCAGAGUCUGAGUUCAACAAAGUAGGGUCCUCAGAUCAGUGGAGGAUCAGCUAUGUCAACAAUCAUUUUGAGGUUUGCCCAAGCUAUUCUUAUGCUGUGAUUGUACCAAAGUCUAUUGAUGACGAGACCAUAGCUAAAGCAGCCAGUUUUAGACAUCACAAUAGAUUCCCUGUGCUGUCUUAUUACCAUAAAGAGAAUGGGCGUGCAAUUAUACGCUCCUCACAGCCCCUAGUUGGACCAAACAUGCGACGUUGCAAGGAAGACGAACAGUUGUUGAAUGCAACACUCAACAGGGGGAAAGGGUACAUCGUGGACACCCGAAUACAGUCUUCUGCCAAGAUGGCACAGGCCAAAGGUGGAGGGUUUGAGCCUGAACAGCACUACCACCAGUGGAAGCGCAUACAUCAGCCGGUAGAAAGACAGAAAUAUUUUCACGAAGCUCUCAUUAAGUUUGUUGAAGCCUGCAUGGAUUUUGGCAGUAGUACAGAGAAGUGGCUGUCAAGACUGGAGUCCAGUGGCUGGCUCAAUAACAUCAAAGAAGUUCUCACAUGUGCCUGUGUCGUGGCACAGUGUGUAGACAAAGAUGAUGCUACAGUGUUAGUCCAUGGUUCAGAAGGGAUGGAUACCACAUUACAGGUUACAGCACUGGCACAACUUAUACUGGACCAUGACUGCAGGACUAUAAGAGGGUUUGAAGCUCUGAUAGAGCGAGAGUGGUUACAGUCUGGACAUCCUUUUGCUGACCGCUGUGCCAAGUCCGCCUUCGCAAUGACCAAACAGAGGAAUGAGUCACCUGUGUUUUUACUUUUCCUGGACUGUGUUUGGCAGAUUUGGCAGCAGUUUCCUUGCUCCUUUGAAUUUAACGAAGAUUUCCUUCUCAUGUUGUUUGAGCAGGCAUAUUCUUCACAAUUUGGGACAUUUUUGUGCAAUAAUGACUGUGAGAGAAAGAAGUAUAAGCUGGCCAGUAAAACAGUAUCUCUGUGGUCAUAUGUGAACAGACCAGAAGUAUUGGAGAAGUACAUCAACCACCUGUACCAGCCCAACCAGUCUCCAAUAUGGCCGUCUGUGGCACCCCAGUCUCUGGUAAGUACAUCAACCACCUGUACCAGCCCAACCAGUCUCCAAUAUGGCCGUCUGUGGCACCCCAGUCUCUGGUAAGUACAUCAACCACCUGUACCAGCCCAACCAGUCUCCAAUAUGGCCGUCUGUGGCACCCCAGUCUCUGGUAAGUACAUCAACCACCUGUACCAGCCCAACCAGUCUCCAAUAUGGCCGUCUGUGGCACCCCAGUCUCUGGUAAGUACAUCAACCACCUGUACCAGCCCAACCAGUCUCCAAUAUGGCCGUCUGUGGCACCCCAGUCUCUGGUAAGUACAUCAACCACCUGUACCAGCCCAACCAGUCUCCAAUAUGGCCGUCUGUGGCACCCCAGUCUCUGGUAAGUACAUCAACCACCUGUACCAGCCCAACCAGUCUCCAAUAUGGCCGUCUGUGGCACCCCAGUCUCUGGUAAGUACAUCAACCACCUGUACCAGCCCAACCAGUCUCCAAUAUGGCCGUCUGUGGCACCCCAGUCUCUGGUAAGUACAUCAACCACCUGUACCAGCCCAACCAGUCUCCAAUAUGGCCGUCUGUGGCACCCCAGUCUCUGGUAAGUACAUCAACCACCUGUACCAGCCCAACCAGUCUCCAAUAUGGCCGUCUGUGGCACCCCAGUCUCUGGUAAGUACAUCAACCACCUGUACCAGCCCAACCAGUCUCCAAUAUGGCCGUCUGUGGCACCCCAGUCUCUGGUAAGUACAUCAACCACCUGUACCAGCCCAACCAGUCUCCAAUAUGGCCGUCUGUGGCACCCCAGUCUCUGGUAAGUACAUCAACCACCUGUACCAGCCCAACCAGUCUCCAAUAUGGCCGUCUGUGGCACCCCAGUCUCUGGUAAGUACAUCAACCACCUGUACCAGCCCAACCAGUCUCCAAUAUGGCCGUCUGUGGCACCCCAGUCUCUGGUAAGUACAUCAACCACCUGUACCAGCCCAACCAGUCUCCAAUAUGGCCGUCUGUGGCACCCCAGUCUCUGGAGGUAUGGCAAGGAUUGUACUUAAGGUGGAAAAUUGACAGGAGUGGUCACCAAGAUGCGUGGAAGGAGAUUUUUAAAGUGAGG
Unclassified non-coding RNA from Lingula anatina, 2654 nucleotides. The record is from RefSeq and is a predicted model, not a curated record. Lineage: Eukaryota; Metazoa; Brachiopoda; Lingulata; Lingulida; Lingulidae.